AAUGAACGCUGGCGGCAUGCCUUACACAUGCAAGUCGAACGGCAGCAUGACCUAGCUUGCUAGGUUGAUGGCGAGUGGCGAACGGGUGAGUAAUGCAUCGGAACGUGCCUUUUAGUGGGGGAUAACGUAGCGAAAGUUACGCUAAUACCGCAUAUUCUCUGUGGAGGAAAGCAGGGGACCUUCGGGCCUUGCGCUAGAAGAGCGGCCGAUGUCGGAUUAGCUAGUUGGUGAGGUAAAGGCUCACCAAGGCGACGAUCCGUAGCGGGUCUGAGAGGAUGAUCCGCCACACUGGAACUGAGACACGGCCCAGACUCCUACGGGAGGCAGCAGUGGGGAAUUUUGGACAAUGGGCGCAAGCCUGAUCCAGCCAUGCCGCGUGGGUGAAGAAGGCCUUCGGGUUGUAAAGCUCUUUCGGCUGGGAAGAAAUCGCACCCUCUAAUACAGGGUGUGGAUGACGGUACCAGCAUAAGAAGCACCGGCUAACUACGUG
This 490-nucleotide ribosomal RNA is filed under the name uncultured bacterium. RNAcentral's name for it is "partial 16S ribosomal RNA". It matches the Rfam family "Bacterial small subunit ribosomal RNA", at positions 29 to 507 of the family's 1533-position model. The record is from RNAcentral.